This 616-nucleotide ribosomal RNA is filed under the name uncultured Legionella sp. RNAcentral describes it as "bacterial SSU rRNA". It matches the Rfam family "Bacterial small subunit ribosomal RNA", at positions 242 to 849 of the family's 1533-position model. Lineage: Bacteria; Pseudomonadati; Pseudomonadota; Gammaproteobacteria; Legionellales; Legionellaceae. The record is from RNAcentral.
UAGCUAGUUGGUGGGGUAAGGGCCUACCAAGGCGACGAUCGGUAGCUGGUCUGAGAGGAUGGCCAGCCACACUGGGACCGAGACACGGCCCAGACUCCUACGGGAGGCAGCAGUGGGGAAUAUUGGACAAUGGGGGCAACCCUGAUCCAGCAAUGCCGCGUGUGUGAAGAAGGCCUGAGGGUUGUAAAGCACUAUCAGUGGGGAGGAGAGAUGGUAGGUUAAGAGCUAACUAUUGAGACGUUGCCCACAGAAGCAGCACCGGCUAACUCCGUGCCAGCAGCCGCGGUAAUACGGAGGGUGCAAGCGUUAAUCGGAAUGACUGGGCGUAAAGGGUGCGUAGGUGGUUUGAUAAGUUAGUUGUGAAAUCCCCGGGCUCAACCUGGGAGGGUCAACUAAGACUGUUGGACUAGAGUGUAGGAGAGGGUAGCGGAAUUUCCGGUGUAGCGGUGAAAUGCGUAGAGAUCGGAAGGAACACCAGUUGCGAAGGCGGCUACCUGGCCUAAGACUGACACUGAGGUACGAAAGCGUGGGUAGCAAACAGGAUUAGAUACCCUGGUAGUCCACGCUGUAAACGAUGUCAACUAGCUGUUGGCCUUAUUGAAGAGGUUAGUGGCGC